GACGAACGCUGGCGGCGUGCCUAAUACAUGCAAGUAGGACGCAGUUGCGAACGUGUGAGUAACGAGUAGGUAACUGCCUAUUAGAGGGGGAUAACUAUUGGAAACGAUAGCUAAUACCGCAUACUAGUAGAUGGACCUGCGUUGUAUUAGCUAGUAGGUGGGGUAAUGGCCUACCUAGGCGACGAUACAUAGCCGAGCUGGAAAGGUGGACCGCCACCAUGGGAGUGGGACAAGGCCCAGACGUCUACGGGAAGCAGCAAUAGGGAAGCAUCGGCAAUGGGGGGAAAGCUGACCGAACAAAGGCGCGUGAGAUGAGAAGGUCUUCGGGGUGUAAAGGUCUGUUGUGAAGGGAGCGGUACGUGAAGAAAAAGGAACGGCUAACUACGUGCCAGCAGCCGCGGUAAUUC
RNAcentral lists this ribosomal RNA (407 nucleotides) under uncultured bacterium. RNAcentral's name for it is "partial 16S ribosomal RNA". It matches the Rfam family "Bacterial small subunit ribosomal RNA", at positions 28 to 526 of the family's 1533-position model. The record is from RNAcentral.